CCAACGGAGGAAACUCUGAUGCAGCGCCGCCGCGUGAGUGAAGAAGGCCUUUGGGUUGUAAAGCUCUUUCGUCGGGGAAGAAAAUGACUGUACCUGAAUAAGAAGGUCCGGCUAAUUUCGUCCCAGCAGCCGCGGUAAUACGAAGGGACCUAGCGUAUUUCGGAAUUACUGGGCUUAAAGAGUUCGUAGGUGGUUGAAAAAUUUGGUGGUGAAUUCCCCGAGUUUAACUCUGAAACUCCCAUCAAAACUUUUCUGCUAGAGUAUGAUAGAGGAAAGCAGAAUUUUUAGUGUAGAGGUGAAAUUCGUAGAUAUUCGAAAGAAUACCAAUUGCGAAGGCAGCUUUUUGGAUCAUUACUGCCACUGAGGAACGAAAGCAUGGGUAGCGACGAGGAUUAGAUACCCUCGUAGUCCAUCCCGUAAACGAUGUGUGUUAGACGUUGGACAUUUAUUUCAGUGUCGCAGCGAAAACGAUAACACACCACCUGGGAUUCCCCCCCG
RNAcentral lists this ribosomal RNA (498 nucleotides) under uncultured bacterium. RNAcentral describes it as "bacterial SSU rRNA". It matches the Rfam family "Bacterial small subunit ribosomal RNA", at positions 368 to 888 of the family's 1533-position model. The record is from RNAcentral.